GGGUUGUGAGGUUAAGCGACUAAGCGUACACGGUGGAUGCCCUGGCAGUCAGAGGCGAUGAAGGGCGUGCUAAUCUGCGAUAAGCGCCGGUAAGGGGAUAUGAACCGUUAUAACCGGCGAUACCCGAAUGGGGAAACCCAGUGUGAUUCGUCACACUAUCAUUAACUGAAUCCAUAGGUUAAUGAGGCGAACCGGGGGAACUGAAACAUCUAAGUACCCCGAGGAAAAGAAAUCAACCGAGAUUCCCCCAGUAGCGGCGAGCGAACGGGGAGGAGCCCAGAGCCUGAAUCAGCAUGUGUGUUAGUGGAAGCGUCUGGAAAGGCGCGCGAUACAGGGUGACAGCCCCGUACACAAAAGCGCAUGUGCUGUGAGCUCGAUGAGUAGGGCGGGACACGUGGUAUCCUGUCUGAAUAUGGGGGGACCAUCCUCCAAGGCUAAAUACUCCUGACUGACCGAUAGUGAACCAGUACCGUGAGGGAAAGGCGAAAAGAACCCCGGCGAGGGGAGUGAAAAAGAACCUGAAACCGUGUACGUACAAGCAGUGGGAGCCCCACCACUAAGCCAGUGGUGAACUCCACAUCCGCAUCCUUUGCUGAGGAUACGGUUAACGGAGCGAAAGCGACGUUCAACCGCAAAACAAGCAGAGGGGGCUUAGUGGUGGGGUGACUGCGUACCUUUUGUAUAAUGGGUCAGCGACUUAUAUUCUGUAGCAAGGUUAACCGAAUAGGGGAGCCGGAGGGAAACCGAGUCUUAAUUGGGCGUUAAGUUGCAGGGUAUAGACCCGAAACCCGGUGAUCUAGCCAUGGGCAGGUUGAAGGUUGGGUAACACUAACUGGAGGACCGAACCGACUAAUGUUGAAAAAUUAGCGGAUGACCUGUGGCUGGGGGUGAAAGGCCAAUCAAACCGGGAGAUAGCUGGUUCUCCCCGAAAGCUAUUUAGGUAGCGCCUCGUGAAUUCAUCUCCGGGGGUAGAGCACUGUUUCGGCUAGGCGGCCAUCCCGGCUUACCAACCCGAUGCAAACUGCGAAUACCGGAGAAUGUUAUCACGGGAGACACACGGCGGGUGCUAACGUCCGUCGUGAAGAGGGAAACAACCCAGACCGCCAGCUAAGGUCCCAAAGUCAUGGUUAAGUGGGAAACGAUGUGGGAAGGCCCAGACAGCCAGGAUGUUGGCUUAGAAGCAGCCAUCAUUUAAAGAAAGCGUAAUAGCUCACUGGUCGAGUCGGCCUGCGCGGAAGAUGUAACGGGGCUAAACCAUGCACCGAAGCUGCGGCAGCGA
RNAcentral lists this ribosomal RNA (1279 nucleotides) under Salmonella enterica subsp. enterica serovar Typhimurium. Its description in RNAcentral is "bacterial LSU rRNA". It matches the Rfam family "Bacterial large subunit ribosomal RNA", at positions 1 to 1211 of the family's 2925-position model. Lineage: Bacteria; Pseudomonadati; Pseudomonadota; Gammaproteobacteria; Enterobacterales; Enterobacteriaceae. The record is from RNAcentral.